GUGCAUUCUGGGGUCAUUUUGGUGUUGGUAGCUUGCUUGGCAAUUGAGCUUGGUGGGUUGCUACUGGUUGGGUGUCUUCGGGGAUGUCUACCGUAAAGGUGCAUGAGUGGUGUUUGGUUUGUUACGGGUGGUUGGCUCUUUGCUUGCGCAACAACUUCUACCUGGCAUACCUCUUCAGUCUUGUGUCAAUGCUUGUAUUGCAUUGAAUGCACGGUGGGUUUCUUGUGUUGCAUGCCUAAUUUAAUGGUAUUGCUUGAUGUAUUGGUUUUCCUUUCGUUUUGCAUUGCCUAUGCGAUGUGAGAUGAACCUUGAAGCAGCCUUUGUGAUCCACUGAUUUGAUGUAUAUGCAUUGAUUUUGUGGCCCAUUGAGUGUUGCUCGGUCUCAUGGAUAUGGAACCUGGUGUGGGCAUGGAAUCUUAAUGGUUCCUUGUUUGCCCAAGUUUAGCUUUUCUAAAACGAUUGUAUAUCAUGUGUUAACAUGCUAGACUACUU
This 492-nucleotide unclassified non-coding RNA is filed under the name Pseudognaphalium montevidense. RNAcentral's name for it is "partial external transcribed spacer". Lineage: Eukaryota; Viridiplantae; Streptophyta; Magnoliopsida; Asterales; Asteraceae. The record is from RNAcentral.